RNAcentral lists this long non-coding RNA (6757 nucleotides) under Triticum aestivum (bread wheat). Its description in RNAcentral is "long non-coding RNA (TAES_LNC023045)". The record is from RNAcentral. Lineage: Eukaryota; Viridiplantae; Streptophyta; Magnoliopsida; Poales; Poaceae.
UGGUAUAUACUUCCACCACAAUGAGUCUCGCUGCACCCCACUUUAUACAUAUACACUAAGCAUACAUAGCUGAAAUAAAUUUAAUACACAGGAAUGUGGUUACAAUAAACAACAAAAGGAUUUGCUUGAUACUGCAAAUAUAUGGCCAGGUCCGUUUCCAUGGUAUUUUAAAUGUUAAUAUGAAAAGUGAACAAAGACUAAAAUUCACUCCAGCAAACACACAAAAAUAAUACAGAAGGAAAGAUUGAAAGCAGCCAUGGUACAACCUCCAAAAAUGAAAACCAUGCAAAUUAGCCUUUGCAAACAUUUAGAAAUAGAGGUUGUUCGAAAUAAUGUCCCAAAAUGAUAUCAAUAACCCAAAUUGUGUGACCUUGCCCACCUAAACUUCAGCAGACCGGACAAAACAUGCCAAUCGUCUUUGCCUUUCAUCAUAUCCCGAUCAUUAGCACAUCCACAUGCGAGCUUGUUAGACGACAUUAUCAUGACGCUGAUGAAGAGCCAUGUAAUUUGCUUAGAAAUGCACAAAGCAAGAGAAAUAUCAGCAUAAAUAAUAAAGAAAAAAGCAUCAAGUUACUAUCUUCAGCUAAGUACUACAAAGCACCACAAGUUAAAAGAGUCAAAUUAUAUGUGUAUUCCCUCUUAAGUUCACAACAAAUGUACCAAAACUGGAAAACAUAGGCAAAAACCAUGUCUCGAUAACGGAUCUUGAAAUAAAGAAAGAAUGGCAAGUCUAAAUUGUAUUGCAUCUGUUAUGUAUCAGGCUAUCAUACAAGAGUGGUGGUUCUGCAAACCAAUUGGUAUUUUUCAGAAGUUGUGUCUCCAUAGGAGAGAAUGUGGCUAUGAUUAUGAAAACACGUAAACAUUCUAGUUUACUGCUUAGGUGUCAUGUAAAAGCAUUCAAAAUGAAAAUGUUGAUUUGCCAACGCAAAGAAAUAUAUAGGAAUACAAGUAGAUCGACCAUGAAAAACUUCAAGUAUUGUGCUAUGAGAAUAGUACUUCUACAUAGAUGAUCUAGUGUCUCCAAUUACAGAACUGCUUAAACCAAACUCAUGAUUAUGAUUUAACAAUGAACAGAACCUUCAAGUGUUGUGCUAUGAGAAUAGCCAGUAGAGAUUUUAGAAACCAUAAAAAUCAGAUCUUUUUGUGUGCGUGCCACAUCAAUCAAGCCGGACAUAUUACAGAGCAGAUGGUGGUUAAGGAGCAUUGCCAAUUUGGCAUCUUAAAAUUCAAAGCAUGGGUAUUAUGUUGCCAGACAGGUGUAUGUAAAGCUUCAGAAAUCAGGUGUGUGUUUUAGAGCAGGGUAUCCAACAUGACUAAUAGAGUAAUCACUAAACACUAAGCUGCCCUAUCUAAGUAAUCAGGGUACCUGGCCAAGCUUAACUUAAGCCACAUGGUUGACGAUGAAAGUAAACUGCACAUAGGUGAAUGCAAGGUGGAGUGUCCUGACCUGGUAACACAAUAAGCAUAUUAUAACAGAUGAUAUGAGCAGGUAUAACUGGGAAUAUUCAGGAGACUAAUUUUUAAAAGAUCAAAUAAUAUUCUUGAUUUAGUAAUAUAAGUAAGGUAUCCGAGUAAACAUAUUAAAUAUGAAUUUUGAUGUCAAUAUUACUGUGACCAUCGUAGCACAUGAGGCACCUGCCUAGUUCUUCUGUGCAUUUCAUCAAACACAUAACAUAGGCAUGGGGGAAUGGAGUGUUGAUUAUUUGUCUAAAGUAUGAUCAGACCAAUGGUGGGAUUAGUACCAUCUAAAGCUAGAAUAUACCAAUCCAAAUGGCGAUUCCGAAGUUCUUAAUGAGAAAACUAAUUAGUUCAUCAUAGAGCAAUACAUGUAGGUUUGGGAACAAUUAGACGCACAGACAGAUUACAGACCAUUUGCAAAACCUGACAAUUAAAUCUCCCCCCUGAAUUUCACAUAGGAGGACAUCGUACUGUCAUCAUUCAAAAUGUUUGUAUCUAUAUUAUUUUGCUCAUCAUGCGUACCAUGCAUAUGUUGUUGUUCAUCCUAUAUUCAAUCACAACAAUGUGCUACCAGGAACUCAAUUAGUGCUGCAGGAAAGUACUAAAUAUUGCGAUAAAAUUACUAAAUAUCACUAAUGGCUGUACCAGCCUAAUUGACAAACCAACCUAGACUAUAUUAGUCAAUAUCUAUCCUUGAAAGUCCUGCAUUCCCCCUCCCUUUGCCCUAACAAACCUCUGUACACUUAGCAGAUAAGUCUAACCUGAAAGUAUAGUAAUCAAAGAGACCAACUUCCAACCGAGAAAUGUGUCCUCCUUUUGCUGCCAGCUCAAAAAGGACUAAUGUGCCUUUACUUUCUAUGGAUCAAGAACACUUCAACAAAUUUCCACAGUCCACAUCAAGUGCAACAAACACCUCGCUAAGAUCCAUGAAUAUGUUAAUAUUUCCUUGCACUUCUAGUCGGCCAGUGCUCAUGACGGAAUACUUGUCAAAUUUGGCAAAAGACACACUACUCUUGCACAUAAACAAAUUUGGGCAAACACGAACUCGAGUUCCGAUCAUACCCAAUAUGAACAGUUUUGAACAAAUUCUGAAAAUAAAAAUAAAUUUGAUCAGAAACAAAUUAUCAAAUUAAUCGGCAUGUUUCCAUCUCUUUAGAUUCAGUCAUAUUCAGUCAAUUUCUCCCGCAGCACAAAUAAUUGGAAGCUGAAUCACACGGGGAAUAGAACAUAAUGGGAAAUUAAUUCACUCAGAGAUGGAGAAAUGGUGGCGCUAGGCGUGCGGUACCUAGAGGCCGUGCUGGUUGAGUCCCUUGACGGCGAUGGCGGCCCUUAGCAUCGAGCAUGCGGACAAAUGUCGUGUAGACCCCGUCGAAGCCGCCCUCGUCGCCCAGAUAUGAAAUGAAAGAGCCUGCAUUCAUUGUCCAAUUAUCCUUUGACCAUCUAUGUCACUGCAUCUGACCUCUACUUGAACUAUUACUAUUGAAAACAAAAAAUACACUGCAUACGUACCAAGAACAGUAAUCCUUGAUUUUCCUUUGCAUAGCAUAAUCAGAUAUUACAAAGGACAACACAAAGCUUACAUAGACAUGAUAACCAACAGAAGUGCAUGCAUAAAUCAGAAACUAUGGAUUAAAGAUUUACCAUCAAUUAGUUGGUCACUAAGAAGGACAUAUAUGGAUGGAUUCACUUAAUAGCAGUCACCAUGUAUAUCACAUUAUCAUCUAAUCAAGAAAAUUGCUUGACAAAUCAGAGAUUUCGAGUAAUGUUUGAACAAUGGCAUAAAAAGAAAUCUGAAUCACAGGUAGGUAAACAUUGCAAGUACUACAACUGACCAUGCAUAUUUAAACUGAUUUCCUUCAUGAGAAUUUCUAGUUCAGUACCCAUGUUUUUCUAAAUUUGGCAUGUGCUUACUAACAUGACAUACCGAGCCAUGAAUCUUAUUACUGAGCUCUGGUCAGCCAAAAAAUUAGAAGCUUUAAACCAAACAUGAGAUUAGUGUAGGCAGAUCAAAUGGUAAGAGGCCAAGAUACAAAUACUUCAAUAGUGUAGUAACCUAUAUGCAUCGUAUAAACCCAAGUCAUGCUUUCUGAAUGUAUAUAUAUAAGAUACAGAGUGGCAACAGAAGAGAUGCCAUAAUAGCAUCAGUUUCUUUUUGUAAAGAACAAUGGAUUUACACAUGCUAGUAAUUAACUUGGAGGAUCAUGUACUACACUGGCAAAAAUCUAAUGAUCCAACAUCACACUAACAUAUGUCAAUCACAAUAAAAAGUAUAAAGUUUUCUCAUAAAACAUGACUCUUGCCUAAUACCUGCAAAGCACAAUCUGGAUGGAACUAACAAAACCAAUCAAGCACAUAACCGUAGCAGCCCCUAACUCCCAGUGAAUGUUUAUUGACCAAUUCUCAAUUGCAUUCUGCAAAAGACAAACAAUAAUAUCAGUUUACAACCUGCUUGGAUUUUCAUCGAAUAUUUCUCAGUUCCUAAUUCAGAAAUGAUGUGACUGGAAUUUCCAAGUCAAUGAAGCCUAAUAAUUCAUUAAUAGGAUCAUUUCAUCUCAACAACUCAUAUUAAGUGAGUGUUAAUAUUUCAGCAGCCUGGUCAUCUAUUCACCUAAACAGAGGUAGACAAAGUUAGAACCAUAGUGGGGUUGCAACAUCCAACCAAACCCUGCAGAACAGUGAAAAUAAAACAAUUAGGCGAGUAGAUAAAAGUGUUAUUUAUUAGAUCCAGCAUAUACAAGAAAACAUCCAGAGGCAAUCAAAUUAUAUUCUGAUCAUGAUCAAAGGUGCAACACAUGCCAGUAGACAGUGUUGAUGCAAUAGACAGUGAAAUUUCCAUGAAGCUGGGAGGAGAUGUUUAAAAAUGUUGUGUGUCGUUUAAACACUACCAACUUAGAGAACUGAACCUCAGCAAGAACAUGAUCCUCUCUCAGUCUCUUCCUUUUAGAACCAAAUCAAGAUAAAUCCACUACAAACAAAUUUUCUUACAGGGCAACAGAGUUUCACCUUCUAGUAUGCAGAACAAUCCUAUCACUCAGCCAGUAUUAGGUCAGCCAUGGCCACAUUUUAUCCGGUGGGGAAUUAACUUGGGAUUCAUCUAUUAGAAAUCAUAUGCAGACCAAUGAAAAUCAAUUAAAUCGUAGGAACCACAGAUCACAAAUUCUCUUGGACUGAACAAUUAGCAGACACAUCAAAACAUGUCAUGCAAUUUUGGAAGCAAGGUCUAAGAAAGAAAUUGACCAAACCGUACAUGGAUAUGGUGUGGUUUGUCAUCUAGUGGGGCCUCGGUUAGUGGACUCCCCCAAUGGUGGCCACACUGGUCAAACCUCAACAUCUACACAACAUUAAGUGCAAAGGAUUAAUUAAUCAUGUUGAAGACAACAUUUGAUGUAGGGUAUACAAUUUUGAUUCUCAAGAUAAUUACUCCACCACACCAAACUUAUAAAUUUCCAUUUCCAUAGAGAAGUAGAAUUGCUUGAAAAGCUAUGUGCAUGUUUUCCAACAACCAAUCACACCAUAUCUCUGUAACUUCCAAUCAACAAAGCAUGACUAAAACAUCCCAGAUUGUGCAAGCACACUAUAUCUCUGUAACUUCAGAUAGUUGCUGCAACAUGUCAAGCAAAAAAUGCAGAGGUAGGUGGGGUGCGGAUUCAUCUUGCUGUUGUAGGUAGGCAUUCCCUCUGGAGGCAGUAGCAGCGGACUCAGGAGCAUGGCACUGGGGAUUUGGUUCUCCAGUCACCAUCGAUUGGUCUCCUCUUACUAAUUCUUCCUCUCUUCAUCCCAUCUUCCGGCAAAAGGAGAGUGCCUUCCAUUGGCUGGCUGCGGUCAAGGUAACAGUGACAUAAGGAAAACGUGGGGAUGGAAGAGACCGAGAGGAAGAGCACCUGACAAGGCAGGGCCGCGAAUCAGAGAGGAUGCAGCACGAGCAUGCUGAAUCGACAGUGGCGUCGAGAAAAGUGCAGCCCAGCCACCGAGAGAGGACGCGGGAGGAGGACGGGUGCUGCGGUGGUGUACAGGAGGAGCGGCGGUGUGACAGGACGACGGCUCCUCGGUGGACGAGAGCCGGAUGCGCCGGUCGCCAGCCGACGGCGCGAGAGGAGGGACUAUCUGAUAACAUGUUUGUUUGUUUUUUGUCUUGCAAGCGACUAUCUAAAAAGUUCACCAUCCUUGGUUCAAAAGAAAUAAAAAUGUAUUUUCACUUUUAAGCACAUUUUUGUCUCUGGUAGGUUUAUUUCUCGUAUGUAGGGCCAUCGUCUCAUUAAGUAUGAGGACUUUCAGGAAACUGCCUGUCGAUGAAAGCAUACAGGUGGAAUGGCUCUGUUUAAUGCAGAUCAUCCAAGCUCCUAUGAAGAUGUAUGUUUUAUGUGAGCCUUUCUUUAUCUCAUUCUUUCUUUUGGCCAUGACAAAAAAAAAUCAAGUGUAUGUGGUGUCAUGCGAUUUUUUUUAACUUCAAAAGUUUUCUUCCGAAUAUUUGUUCUUCCUAUUCUCAGGUACAUGUAUGGUGGUAAAUCUGUUCAAAAGUAGUUCCUACAAAGUUUGAAAAUCCCAAGCCUUUUACAAAGCAAGUUGAUAACUUCUGGCUAACCUUGAUAGAUGGACACAUCUUCUUGUUAUUGAAGGACGCAUUCCCAGGCAAACCUUGGUCGAGAAUCUAAUCGGUGUCCAUUUUUGGAGCAAAGAUAAGCAGGGGUGAGGGCGCUAUAUACUGCCAAUUUUUGGAGCAAAGAUAAGCCAAAACUAAACAUCCAAAACAUUUGAACCUGAGAUGCGAUAGUACCCAAUCCAAUAGCUGUCACAAUAACCCAGAGAUCCCCAUUCCGUAUAUACUGCCCUUCCCUUCCUAUAACUAUCAUCAGACCACCAAAUCGAACAGCUGCCACAAUAACCAAGAGAUCCCCACUCCGUAUAUUUCACUAAUAUACAAACCAUUCGCUAAAUCCAAAUUGACCAUUUCUAAAGCAAAGUUAAGCUGAAACUAAAAGCAUCAGACCACCAAAACACCCCAAAUUCCAUAACCUGAGAUCCCAUGGCACCCAGUCUAACAAAGAACCAUCUCAUGAACAUAAUUAAGUAGUGUGUAUAUGAACCUAAACAAUAGGACAUAGCUGAACAACAUCACGAGUAGCAGAUGCAUGCGGAUCCAACUCUGUGAAAUAGUAAACAAAAGGCCCAGAAAAAUCACCUCCAGAGGAGGUCUCCGAGGAGCAUCAAGUCGCCAUCCUUGUCUCCGUUCCUCUCAUCAUCUCCACCAGACUCGUCUCCUCGUUCCGACACUUGCCUGCAUCCGAGAGUCAAAUCGUCA